GAUGAACGCUGGCGGCGUGCCUAAUACAUGCAAGUCGAGCGAACAGACGAGGAGCUUGCUCCUCUGACGUUAGCGGCGGACGGGUGAGUAACACGUGGAUAACCUACCUAUAAGACUGGGAUAACUUCGGGAAACCGGAGCUAAUACCGGAUAAUAUAUUGAACCGCAUGGUUCAAUAGUGAAAGACGGUUUUGCUGUCACUUAUAGAUGGAUCCGCGCCGCAUUAGCUAGUUGGUAAGGUAACGGCUUACCAAGGCAACGAUGCGUAGCCGACCUGAGAGGGUGAUCGGCCACACCGGAACUGAGACACGGUCCAGACUCCUACGGGAGGCAGCAGUAGGGAAUCUUCCGCAAUGGGCGAAAGCUUGACGGAGCAACGCCGCGUGAGUGAUGAAGGUCUUCGGAUCGUAAAACUCUGUUAUUAGGGAAGAACAGAUGUGUAAGUAACUAUGCACGUCUUGACGGUACCUAAUCAGAAAGCCACGGCUAACUACGUG
RNAcentral lists this ribosomal RNA (497 nucleotides) under uncultured bacterium. RNAcentral's name for it is "partial 16S ribosomal RNA". It matches the Rfam family "Bacterial small subunit ribosomal RNA", at positions 28 to 507 of the family's 1533-position model. The record is from RNAcentral.